Molecule: long non-coding RNA, 214 nt
Organism: Nanorana parkeri
Lineage: Eukaryota; Metazoa; Chordata; Amphibia; Anura; Dicroglossidae
Exons: 3
Source: RefSeq, a predicted model, not a curated record
GCUCUUUAAAUUGAUUUAGUGAUUUGGAGAGCUCGUUAGUUUAAAACAAUCUCCAUUUUCUUUAAUAAGACCGGAGUCCUUUUUUAAGAAACAUAUGCAUCACUCUCUGCCCCGUAGUGCCAGGCAGAGCCCAGAUGUGCCCGUGUUCAGAGUAGAAGCAGCUUCUCGGGAGAUAUUUGUGUUGAAGCAGCUGUGCCUGCGACAAUGAAGCAGC